RNAcentral lists this ribosomal RNA (468 nucleotides) under uncultured bacterium. RNAcentral's name for it is "partial 16S ribosomal RNA". It matches the Rfam family "Bacterial small subunit ribosomal RNA", at positions 28 to 507 of the family's 1533-position model. The record is from RNAcentral.
GACGAACGCUGGCGGCGUGCUUAACACAUGCAAGUCGAACGGAAAGGCCCUGCUUUUGUGGGGUGCUCGAGUGGCGAACGGGUGAGUAACACGUGAGUAACCUGCCCUUGACUUUGGGAUAACUUCAGGAAACUGGGGCUAAUACCGGAUAGGAGCUCCUGCUGCAUGGUGGGGGUUGGAAAGUUUCGGCGGUUGGGGAUGGACUCGCGGCUUAUCAGCUUGUUGGUGGGGUAGUGGCUUACCAAGGCUUUGACGGGUAGCCGGCCUGAGAGGGUGAACGGGCACAUUGGGACUGAGAGACGGCCCAGACGCCUACGGGAGGCAGCAGUGGGGAAUAUGGCACAAUGGGCGGAAGCCUGAGGCAGAAACGCCGCGUGCGGGAUGACGGCCUUCGGGGUGUAAACCGAUUUCGCCUGUGACGAAGAGUGAGUGACGGUAAUGGGUAAAGAAGCACCGGCUAACUACGUG